UCUCUGGAAACGGGGACUAAUACCGGAUAGGUAAUCGGAAGGCAUCUUCUGGUUAUUAAAAGGUUAAAAACACUGGUGGAUGGGCUUAUGGCGCAUUAGUUAGUUGGUGAGGUAACGGCCCACCAAGACGAUGAUGCGUAGCCGGCCUGAGAGGGUGAACGGCCACAUUGGGACUGAGACACGGCCCAGACUCCUACGGGAGGCAGCAGUC
RNAcentral lists this ribosomal RNA (211 nucleotides) under uncultured Solobacterium sp. RNAcentral's name for it is "partial 16S ribosomal RNA". It matches the Rfam family "Bacterial small subunit ribosomal RNA", at positions 147 to 355 of the family's 1533-position model. Lineage: Bacteria; Bacillati; Bacillota; Erysipelotrichia; Erysipelotrichales; Erysipelotrichaceae. The record is from RNAcentral.